This 252-nucleotide ribosomal RNA is filed under the name uncultured bacterium. RNAcentral describes it as "partial 16S ribosomal RNA". It matches the Rfam family "Bacterial small subunit ribosomal RNA", at positions 524 to 776 of the family's 1533-position model. The record is from RNAcentral.
UACGUAGGGGGCAAGCGUUGUCCGGAUUCAUUGGGCGUAAAGAGCGUGUAGGCGGCCAGGUAGGUCGGUUGUGAAAACUGGAGGCUCAACCUUCAGAGGUCGACCGAAACCAUCUGGCUAGAGUCCGGGAGAGGAGAGUGGAAUUCCUGGUGUAGCGGUGAAAUGCGCAGAUAUCAGGAAGAACACCCGUGGCGAAAGCGGCUCUCUGGAACGGUACUGACGCUGAGACGCGAAGGCGUGGGAGCGAACGGG